UCCAAAUUAACCUGCUCAUUUGCUCUUUCAAUUGACAGUGUGUUCGAUUAGGUUUGAUCAAUAUCAUAAUUUUAACACUGUAAGGACUCGGUGCCGAAAUCAUCGGUCUACACUCUACAGCAUUGUUUUCAUCGUCGAAAAUACUGAUUUUCUCGAAGCCAAAGUUCAUCUCAAACUGGAGGUCGUGUCGCUGGAGGUAGUAUUGAUUGCGCUUUCUUCUGCAGCUGCUGCUGGACUUCUGUUGUCCAUCUUGGAUACUCUCUAUAAAGGCUUAAUUGAUUUCUCCAUUUGAUGAUUCUGGACCUGCUCCUACAAUUUAUGCUCGAGUGUUCAGGUGUGGUUUUUUUUAGGCUUAUUUUGCAUUUUUGAAUGAACUGAUAAAAUAUAUCUCCUGCAAAUUAU
Molecule: long non-coding RNA, 402 nt
Organism: Tripterygium wilfordii
Lineage: Eukaryota; Viridiplantae; Streptophyta; Magnoliopsida; Celastrales; Celastraceae
Exons: 3
Source: RefSeq, a predicted model, not a curated record